GACGAACGCUGGCGGCGUGCUUAACACAUGCAAGUCGAACGGAAAGGCCCUGCUUUUGUGGGGUGCUCGAGUGGCGAACGGGUGAGUAACACGUGAGUAACCUGCCCUUGACUUUGGGAUAACUUCAGGAAACUGGGGCUAAUACCGGAUAGGAGCUCCUGCUGCAUGGUGGGGGCUGGAAAGUUUCGGCGGUUGGGGAUGGACUCGCGGCUUAUCAGCUUGUUGGUGGGGUAGUGGCUUACCAAGGCUUUGACGGGUAGCCGGCCUGAGAGGGUGACCGGCCACAUUGGGACGGAGAUACGGCCCAGACUCCUACGGGAGGCAGCAGUGGGGAAUAUUGCACAAUGGGCGGAGGCCUGAUGCAGCAACGCCGCGUGCGGGAUGACGGCCUUCGGGUUGUAAACCGCUUUCGCCUGUGACGAAGCGUGAGUGACGGUAAUGGGUAAAGAAGCACCGGCUAACUACGU
Molecule: ribosomal RNA, 467 nt
Filed under: uncultured bacterium
Lineage: Bacteria
Description: partial 16S ribosomal RNA
Rfam family: Bacterial small subunit ribosomal RNA
Source: RNAcentral